CCUACGGGAGGCAGCAGUGAGGAAUAUUGGUCAAUGGUCGGGAGACUGAACCAGCCAAGCCGCGUGAGGGAUGAAGGUACAGAGUAUCGUAAACCUCUUUUGUCAGGGAACAAAGGCGGGGACGUGUCCCCGGAUGAGUGUACCUGAAGAAAAAGCAUCGGCUAACUCCGUGCCAGCAGCCGCGGUAAUACGGAGGAUGCGAGCGUUAUCCGGAUUUAUUGGGUUUAAAGGGGGCGCAGGCGGUCUGUUAAGUCAGGGGUGAAAGGCCGGGGCUCAACCCCAGGACCGCCUUUGAAACUGGCAGUCUCGAGUUGGAGAGAAGUAUGCGGAAUGCGUGGUGUAGCGGUGAAAUGCAUAGAUAUCGCGCAGAACUCCGAUUGCGAAGGCAGCAUGCCGGCUCCACACUGACGCUGAUGCACGAAAGCGUGGGUAUCGAACAGGAUUAGAUACCCGGGUAGUC
RNAcentral lists this ribosomal RNA (460 nucleotides) under uncultured bacterium. RNAcentral describes it as "partial 16S ribosomal RNA". It matches the Rfam family "Bacterial small subunit ribosomal RNA", at positions 338 to 795 of the family's 1533-position model. The record is from RNAcentral.